RNAcentral lists this ribosomal RNA (440 nucleotides) under uncultured bacterium. Its description in RNAcentral is "bacterial SSU rRNA". It matches the Rfam family "Bacterial small subunit ribosomal RNA", at positions 1 to 438 of the family's 1533-position model. The record is from RNAcentral.
GGAUCCAGACUUUGAUUAUGGCUCAGGAUGAACGCUAGCGACAGGCCUAACACAUGCAAGUCGAGGGGUAACAGGGAAGCUUGCUUCUGCUGACGACCGGCGCACGGGCGCGUAACGCGUAUGAAACCUGCCUUAUACUGGGGGAUAGCCCGAAGAAAUUCGGAUUAAUACCCCAUAACACUACAAAAUCGCAUGAUUUAGUAGUUAAAACUCCGGUGGUAUAAGAUGGUCAUGCGUGACAUUAGCUAGUUGGUAAGGUAACGGCUUACCAAGGCGACGAUGUCUAGGGGUUCUGAGAGGAAGGUCCCCCACACUGGUACUGAGACACGGACCAGACUCCUACGGGAGGCAGCAGUGAGGAAUAUUGGUCAAUGGACGCAAGUCUGAACCACCCAUGUCGCGUGCAGGAAGACUGCCCUAUGGGUUGUAAACUGCUUUUA